GAGUUUGAUCAUGGCUCAGGAUGAACGCUGGCGGCGUGCUUAACACAUGCAAGUCGAACGAACCUUCGGGUUAGUGGCGGACGGGUGAGUAACGCGUGAGAAUCUGCCCUCAGGAGGGGGAUAACGGUUGGAAACGACCGCUAAUACCCCAUAUGCCUACUGGUGAAAUGAAUUUCGCCUGAGGAUGAGCUCGCGUCUGAUUAGCUAGUUGGUGUGGUAAUGGCUCACCAAGGCUUCGAUCAGUAGCUGGUCUGAGAGGAUGAUCAGCCACACUGGGACUGAGACACGGCCCAGACUCCUACGGGAGGCAGCAGUGGGGAAUUUUCCGCAAUGGGCGAAAGCCUGACGGAGCAACGCCGCGUGAGGGACGAAGGCCUCUGGGCUGUAAACCUCUUUUCUCAAGGAAGAAGAUAUGACGGUACUUGAGGAAUAAGCCACGGCUAAUUCCGUGCCAGCAGCCGCGGUAAUACGGGAGUGGCAAGCGUUAUCCGGAAUUAUUGGGCGUAAAGCGUCCGCAGGCGGCUUUUCAAGUCUGCUGUUAAAACGUGGAGCUUAACUCCAUCAUGGCAGUGGAAACUGAAAGGCUUGAGUAUGGUAGGGGCAGAGGGAAUUCCCGGUGUAGCGGUGAAAUGCGUAGAUAUCGGGAAGAACACCAGUGGCGAAGGCGCUCUGCUGGGCCAUUACUGACGCUCAUGGACGAAAGCCAGGGGAGCGAAAGGGAUUAGAUACCCCUGUAGUCCUGGCCGUAAACGAUGAACACUAGGUGUCGGGGGAA
This 775-nucleotide ribosomal RNA is filed under the name uncultured bacterium. Its description in RNAcentral is "bacterial SSU rRNA". It matches the Rfam family "Bacterial small subunit ribosomal RNA", at positions 9 to 831 of the family's 1533-position model. The record is from RNAcentral.